GAUGAACGCUAGCGGCAGGCCUAACACAUGCAAGUCGAGGGAGAAGCCCUUUCGGGGGCAGAAACCGGCGCACGGGUGCGUAACGCGUAUGCAACCUACCUUUCACAGGGGGAUAGCCCGAAGAAAUUUGGAUUAAUACCCCAUAAUAUUAUUGGAUGGCAUCAUUUGAUAAUUAAAACUGCGGUGGUGAAAGAUGGGCAUGCGUCCUAUUAGCUAGUUGGAGUGGUAACGGCACCCCAAGGCUACGAUAGGUAGGGGUACUGAGAGGGAGAUCCCCCACACUGGUACUGGGACAGGGACCAUGCUCCUGCGGGAGGCAGCAGUGAGGAAUAUUGGUCAAUGGUCGGAAGACUGAGCCAGCCAUGCCGCGUGCAGGAAGAAUGCCUUAUGGGUUGUAAGCUGCUUUUAUAUGGGAAGAAUAAGGCGUACGUGUACGUUGAUGACGGUACCAUAUGAAUAAGCAUCGGCUAACUCCGUG
RNAcentral lists this ribosomal RNA (478 nucleotides) under uncultured bacterium. RNAcentral describes it as "partial 16S ribosomal RNA". It matches the Rfam family "Bacterial small subunit ribosomal RNA", at positions 28 to 507 of the family's 1533-position model. The record is from RNAcentral.